RNA transcript from Aquila chrysaetos chrysaetos, 8271 nucleotides. RefSeq lists it as uncharacterized. The record is from RefSeq and is a predicted model, not a curated record. The transcript is spliced from 4 exons. NCBI's taxonomy places the organism in Eukaryota, Metazoa, Chordata, Aves, Accipitriformes, Accipitridae.
GGGAUGCCGCCAGCCGAACCCCGUGUGCCGUGCCCGCUGCGGGAGCGACUGGCCCCGCCGUGUUUGUGCGAAACACAAGUGCACCCUUGGCUGGCAGCCACCGAGCAACGCCACGAGGGUGUUCGGCUUCCUCGAGGCCGCCUGGCCAUGGAGAUAAGCGCCGGAGCAGGAAGCGUCUCACCCCGUGCUGGGCUAGAGAGAAUUUUGGCUCCCCGGGGCGGGGCUGGGGCUGCGAGCCGAAGGGCAGCACCCGAGUUCCUCGCCGGUGGGAUGGUGGUGGCAGGGAUGUCCCUGGGGUUCGUCUCGUGCUUUCCUGUGAGGUCCCCUCCUGGGGACGGUCCCAGCGUGGGUACGGUGGGACUGGAGGAUGCAGCGGGAGGAGGGAGGGCAGCACCUGCCAACAUCCCCAUCCUAUGGCCGCAUAACCAUCCCGUCUGUGACCCCGCAGGUAAAACACGGACAUCACGGCAUGAGCACCCCACGGUCUGUGCCGCACUCACCCCAACGAGACAAGUCCCCCCAUUUCACGGGGGAACGCAGGCAUCGCUCCGACCAGCUACAGAAACAAGGACAUCUCCAUGUGCUCGGCGUCCACGGCAUCGCUGUUAAUAGCCAAUCUGCCUGGGGAGAGGGAGUCUUCUGCAUGCUUUGCACAGAUAUGGAGUGAUUUCCUAUUGCCCAGAGCUUGCUGGGGCGCAGAAGACCCCUCUGCCCCAGCCGGCUCUGGUGCUGAUGUCGGAGCAAGAUGCUGCACCCUCUCUUGCAGCCGGCCUUGGGAGCUGCGUGCAUCCAGCGCAGCCGCCGCUGAGGUUUGUGGUGGGCUGUGUUUUGCCAACAGCAUUUAGUAAACAGCCCCGUGCGUGGUGCACAAGAAAGAUCCUAAUCUGGCUCAAAAAAAGCAAACAAGCCCAAAGUUAUCUCCGCAAGCCAAGUCUGCAAAUGCAGAAAAAUUCCUGCACCCUCUUGCACAACAGCGUCUGCCCUCCUCCUUGCCGGAGAUAAUUGCUCCGUCUACCAGCAAGCUACUCCUGGCAGCACUUGGCCAGGACAUCGCGUCCCAGGGACCGGCUGCUUCCCCCGGGCCAUUAGCGCCGUCACAGCCACCGAGACAUUUGCUCGCUGCCAUCUCGGAGGUGGGAUUCGCUUUUAGAGGGGAGCAGGCAAGGAGCGGGAGGAAAGGGUCACUGUGGCUGGCAGCCGCAGGAGGAUUCCCGGCUUCGAUUUUUGUGGCAAGGUUGUUCCCGACAUCCCGACCGCAGUGACGCCACGCCGAGGGCAGCCUCCGCCGCGCCGGUGCCGGGGGCGGCGAGCGAAGCCUGGCUCCAUCCCACCACCGUCCCAGAGCCCCCGCUCACCCCUGCCCAACGAGCCGGGGGCUGGGGGGACAUCUCGGCAGCUAAUUUGCUUUGCAGCCCCUUGAUCGCCCAGAGGAAGGCGGCUGCCUUUUCCUCUCGGCCGCCGGCUCCCCCCUUUCAUCCGUGCACGGCCCCAGCGGCUGCGGCGCUGCAGAGAUCCCCAGCACCCACCUGCCAUGGCAGGGAAUUGUGUGCAAAUGAGAACUAUUCUGGGGGAAAACCCAGGAAUGGAGGGAGCCUGCUGGGACGGAGCGGCCAGAUGACCCUCUGCGCUCGGGCGAGCGAGAGGAGGAGAACAAAGCAAGCUGUGCCUUUAUAAAAAAUGUUAUUAAAAAAGUAAAAGCAGGCAGAGUUGGCCCAUGGUUUGAGAAGGACGAGAGGUGGCAUUUCCCCUGGGCGAAGCCACAGUGGCUUUGCAGGAGGUUUGGGGUCAGCAGGGAGGCUGCGGGAUGGCGAGCACCAGCCUGAGCCGCUGCCGCCAGAAGUGUCCCCAGUGGUGGUGGCCUUGGCUGGGGACCCAGGCUGGACACACACAAACACGGCCGAGACGUGGCCUGUGGCGCGGGAAGCUGGCAAGUCCCCCGGAGCUCUCCCAGGGUCAUCCCACCCGAGCUCCGGGCCAUUGCUCACGAUGUUACCGUACAUCUCGGGAACACGUUUGCUCCCAAAGCCCCGGACCCUGGAGCCGUGCAAAGAGGGGAAUUUCAAAGGGUUGGGUUUUGGGGGUUGUUUUCUUUAUUUUUACCUCCUUAGGUCCAGGUUUCUGGGCACAGGCGCAGCCUGAACCCACUUGGUCCAAGCCCAGCGAGAAGGUAGGAACAACUAGAGCAACUUGAUUUGGAAGGAUCUCAGGUGUGAUGUCUGAGCUGGGAAACCAUCACCAAUUCCUCAAGCUGGAAAAAAUACAGGCAAAAAAUGGAGGAAAAAAAAGCUUUACAUCUCCCGCAGAGGCGUGAGCAGCCAUCAGCAUUUCUGGGCUCGGCAUCCAAGCCGAAACAAACUGAGCAAUCGCACAUGUUCUUCCUUGGCGGAGCCAAAAGCUGUUCCUGUCAUGCUAUAUAUUUGCUCUCUGAUUAAUGUAAGAUACAUUUUUUUUCGGGGAAUAGAAUCAGAGAAACCGACAGCAGCAUGUUAAGUAUUUGGCAAACAAUUCCUUUGAUGUUGCGCGUAGGUAGUGCUCAAUAUAUUUGCGAGCUAUAUAUAGCUAAAAACAUAUAUAUCUCGCCCCACAUAACGUUUCCACUCUUCUGCAGACUACCUGUAAAACACAGACAGUAUCAGAAGCUGUAAAUACAGUUAUUACACCACCGGCUGACAGCCAAUUCUCUAAAGCUUUUUGAUGCAAAACAUUUUUGUGUUUUCCAGGGAAAGACAAUGGGAUUUUGGUCCUGACUUGCCCAUCCUGCAGGCAGGGAUGUGGUCCACGCGUUUUGGGGUAGCGAUGCUCCCAGAAGAAUAAGGUGUCCUGGAGCUAUAGGCGUGUGUUGAUUAAUUUGCAGCCUGAGCCAUCCAUCCCGAUGCCGUACAGAAAUGUGCUGGGUUACCUUUUUUUUUUUUUCUCAUGGGCUUCCCUGCCUCAAAGCAGAGUGUUUGUGGAGGUUUAUCUGGUUUUCCUUUGUUCAGCGGUCACGAAAGAGAAAGAGGAAGGAAACCCGCCAUCGCUCGGCCUGAUACUCAGUUAAAAAUAGCAGGGCUGGCUGGGCCGGGGUUCCCAUCCUCACUAAAGGUCACUUCCCCAAGCCCCGCCGCUGAAAAUAUGCGACCGAAUGUCCCAUUUUGGCACAUUCCUGAUGGUUUGGAGGCAAUGAAAAGCCUGGAGGAAGGAGGGAUGCUCACCGCCCUGCAAAGCUCAGCUCUGGGCUGUCCAUGGGUUUUAUUUUCCAUCCUCGUGAACCACGUCCAAGGUCCCCUCCUCAGGGUCGGGGUGACGGCCACGGUGGGAUUGCCACAGCUGAAGAGCCGAAGCUCGCACGUCCCACGUCCCUUCCUCCGCUGCGAGGAGGGCAUCCUGCUGGCCGGUGCAUGGGGCCUGGCCCCCCCAGUGCUUUUUACUUAUGUAUUUUUUUAAUUUUUAAAUUUUUUUUAUUUUAUUUUUAUUUUUAUUUUUCCCUGUGCAGCCCGGCUGCUGCCUGAGAUCAGGGCAGUCCCAGGGCUCAGCAGUGUGGCCUUGGUGGCUUGCAGGGGGACAGGAGGCAGGGGGAGAUGGUGUCAGGGCAGGAGCCAGCUCCAGUCCUGCCUUCAGCGUCACUCGGCACGGGCAGCUGAUCUCCAAUCUCCUAGGAAACUCUGGGAAGGACUCAGUGCAGUCACAAAACCCCUGGUCUCCCCAUUUCCCACACUCCAGACCUGGGAAUCAGCCUUAAAAAGAAAUUGUACGGUAAAAACCAAACGGCUCCAGCAAAUCAUCCAACAUAGCGUGUCAGGUGCCGAUGUCCCCUUCGCUUCUGAUGCUGGGAUGGGCACCCUCCUCCGCAGCCCCACAGCACCCACCCCUCCGUGGGGCCAGGGUGCAGGAGGGAUGAGGGCAUCCCUUCGGGCAGCACCGCGGCCGGUUUGCACCGUGGGUUGCAUACCUCUGGCUGGGGGGACCACCUCCCGUGGGCAGUUUUGGCUUCAAAGCCACCAUGAUGUGUUUGUACGCUAUCGAGGAAGAUCUGCGGUCAGAGGGGCCGGUUCCUGAUGCUGCGAUAUUGUGCGAUUCUUGCUUGGUAGGAGAGAGAAAAGGCGCCGUAGACGUGAAGGAAAGAGAGGCAAAACCCCACUGAUGCUGGUUCAGCGCUGAGCGUGCCAGCCAGCCCUUACCCUCCCCUUGGUGAACAUUGCAUCUCCAUGGAGAGCCGGAAUCGUUCGUUCUGCCUAGUUAAAACCAGACAUUUUUUCCAUUUUUGGCUUGUGCUUUUGCUGGAGGGAAAUGUGGAGUGAAAUUUUGCCCAUAGCGAGAAGGCUGACUUAACCACCUCAAACAUCAGCCCAGCCCCAGGUAUGUGCAGGGCUCUCGGCUUGCUCAGCGCUGCCUUGGAGCCUCCUGUUGUGUUAUUUGCUUUUGCUGUUUCCUAAACUCCAGCAAAAACCCCGGGAAUGACACGCCACAACAGCAGGGUUUUUUUUCCAGGAGAUAUUUUGCAUCAGGGAAAAACCCAUCUGAGCGUCAGAGUGAGUGUCACAGUGUUCCCCCUUUGAUGGAUAUUAAUGUAUUUUCCUACCUUUGAAAGGGGUUGGAAUACAGUUUAAAAAAAAAAAUAAUUGCCCAAUAUAGGUCUGGAUUCAUAAACAGAGGCUCCUAAGCGUGCUGCUGCUGGCUGCGGGGAAGAUGCCAGGGAGUUCGGAAAUGCCGCAGGAUCCUCGCUCAAAUCCAGCCAGCAGAGCUUGGGCAAUCACUUCAGAAAUGCCCCAGUUGGGGCAUUGCACUCAGGAAAGCCCCUUUUCCAGCUCAUUUAUGGACAGAACCAUGAAAGGAAAGGCAACCCCAAUGCAUAGGCUUUAUAGCUGCCACUGUAAAUGUGUCUGACACUGGGAAUCCUAUUCCUCGUAGCCAUUUGCAGCGGGAGCAGAGCUGGAAAAUAGGGUGACUGCCCUGUGCAUCCAUCGCCUCCCAACAGAAGAGCCUUGUCCGCAUGGACCGUUCCUCCUCAUUUUCCCUAGAUGGAACCUCCCUCUUGCCUCGAAAUCCUGUGCCAGCCAGGUGUUUCCAGGAUCUCCGUCUCUCUGCAUCCAUGGCUCCGCAGAGCCAGGACCGCUGCAGCCCCGUGCCACAAAUCCACGCCAUCCCCUGCAUCCCGGUGGGAUGCGUGGCAGGGCUGGAGCUUCCCUGCCAUCUUCAGCUGCUGCGUUUAUGCUCCAAGAAGCCAAAUCCCGAUGGUAACCACGCCCCAACACCACUUUAAGGUGCACAGGGCGGCACAGGAGGCACAGACGAGGAUAUAUAUUUCCAGCAAGGGUGGAAAUACCAGACCUUCUGCCCUGAGCAUCGCGGUGGUGAGGAUUGAUGUUUCAGUGCUCUUUGGAUCCAGCCCUCGGGGAGCAGGACUGGCCUGCAGCUGCUGGGACUCCUGGCCGGGGGAUUAAAAAUAAACCCCUAAGCCUGGCUCCGAAAGGUCGGCUGACAGGUAACAUUUAGAAGAGCCUCAAACUGUUAUUUCAAGGAGUAUUAUUAUUUUUUUUUUUCUCCAUAGGAAAAGCAAAUAUCUAAGCUGCCCUGGAAAAAAAGCCAUUCCUGACUCUCCCCUGCGGAUGGGGAUUCGCCACACGUGAACUGGGGGGAUGCGGUGGGAGAAAGCCUGGGAGCGGGAUGGCAAAUGGCAGUGGCACUGUCACCUUUCAUUAAUUAAUGCUACUUUGUGUGAUGGCCCCAGAGCCCGGGGAGGGUGCUGGAGCAGUACACGGAGCAGCUGCACAUAACCCUGGGUGGCUUUAUGAAGGAUCACAGCUCCUCUCUUGGGAGCAACCCACGGUGGGGCAUAUGAGCGUGCAGCUGCAGGUGUGUGCAGCAGGGGGUAAAUGAGAGUCUCGAAAUGGUGUUAAAUGCACACGCCAAGGGCCGGCUCCUGCAUCUAUCGCCUACUGGUAACUCCCUUCUGAAUUAAGAUCAACUUGACCUGAGCGAGGAGUGCAGAUGCAGACCCUAAAUCCUGCUGCCGCAGAAACAAAGAGUAUGAAAUACAGUCAACCAAAAGCCCUGUACAUUUUCUCCCAUCCUUCAAGCCGUAAUUGCCACUGACAGUCCUGAAACCCGUGGUUAGCCUGCGCUCAGGCUCGGUUAGCGUGCGUUAUCCAUUGCUGUUUCGCACGCCGGAGCAGGAGCUGGAGUCGGAGCCUGGGGGCUGGUUACCAGCAUACGGGCUGCUCUCAGCCUUUCCAGCAAACAUAAUUUUUUCCCCAUCUCCAAGGAACAAAGUGGAGACAAAAGAUUAAUCUUCCACGGAUUGUAAAAUCCUUGGGGCGAGGAGCGUGGCGUCGGUUCAGCGUUGUUGGCAGACUUUCUGCUGGCUCCGACGGGCUCUGGAGCGGCUCCGGCCGUCCCACUCCCCUCGCCCCCAGCCCAGGAGCACGGCAGUGCAAAUCCACAGCUUUCGGGAGAAUUAUUCCCAAUUUCCUUUUGUAGAAACAAGAUCAAAAUCAAAACCGGCUGUCGACUUCCACGCCUCGUAUGGUGCUGCGUCAGCACUAGCAGGACCCUGCUCUCCCUCCCGCACCUCAGCCAUGCCUAAAAAACCUCCUCAGAAGCUUGGGAUGUGUUAAACCCACUCCUUUCUUCUUUUUAUGACCCUCUUAAGCUUGUCUACCUCCAAAAUUUAUUACCGGGGGGAAGCCAAGAUAAAUAAGGAGGUUUGCCUUUCGUUUCAGGGCUGACGUGCUGCAGAAGGGAAUCCCCCAAACCGGGGGGGCUGCCAGGGAUGGAGCCCCAGUCCCCCCCAGCCCGGCUUGCUCCAGUGGCCACGGGCCCUUCACUUACAAUACUGAGGGCAUUUUCACUCCAGACCGUUUUCCCUCACUGGUCAUUGUUGGACUGACUAAUUUAUGGCUCCAAGUCGCUAAUAAUUUUGAUGCAGUGCCUAAUUAUAGGUGGGGUGGAUGGUGCUGCCUGUUACUAGGGCUGCCAGAUGUUCCCUUUGUAACUCUGUUCUCAGUUGCUCCCAACUUUGUCAAACUUCAACUUUUGGAGCUGGGACAUCGUCUUCGCGCUCUCUUCCAGUACAAGGACUGGCAUCAUCCGAUGAAACCGGGAGGAGCAGGAACAACAGGAGUGGGUCUUCAUGGGUUGCCGAGCAGAGCCUGCGGGCACGGUGUGGGCGGGAGGUGGCACGUCCCCGGGGGCAGCCGAGACGAGGGCUUGGAGGAGAGAGCACUGGGGGUUACUGAACAAAAUGCUCAGCGCUGGGAGGGUGCUAGUGGAAAAGGCCGUAGGUGCCUGCCUGCGCCUUGCCCGGUGGUAGGGGCUCGUGGUUGGGGCGGGUCACUGCUGGGGAGCCACUGCUGCGCCGGAGGGACCGGUGGUCUGAACCGCUGCGGUUGCAGAACGUGAUAAAGGGGUCAGGAGAUGUUGGGGAAAGAAGUGAGGGGCUCCUGGUUGUACGUACACGGUGACGCAGCUCGGUGUGCCUUGCCUCUGUUCUUCAUCUGUACAAUGAACAUUAGAUCAGACCCUCACCUUCUUGGGUGCAGGUGAAGGCAGUUUGUGGUGUAGGGCCUGGCCUAAAUCAUGCUCAGGAGGACACGAAGAACCCUCUUUCCAAAAACCUUGCUCUAGGGGCAGCACAUUUGCCCUGGAGCAGGGUAACAAGGACGGGGCAGCUGCCUGUACGCAGGCUCCCACCCAGGCUGCAGGCUGGGUGACACAGGAGUCCAGUCCGACCCCCUGCUACAGCAGCUGCUUUGAGGGCAGUUCCUGAGUUUUGGGGAUUACCAACUGCAAUAAGUCCUCUGUGCACCUUGUUGAGAGCACAUGGUAUUUUAAUAAUAUCAGAUUGCAUUAGUUCUCCCCAAGCACCUGGUGGAACUGCUCAGCCCCUUGAACUGGAGAGCCCCGGGGCAGACCCCGGCCAAGGGCAGCACUAGUGCCCAGGGAGCUCAGCAGCAGAAACACCCCUUUUCCCCCCCCAAAACGAUCACGAGAGGCAGAUGAAGACAACGACAGAGCUUGAAGCGAGGCCAGACCGCAGGGCUGGGAGCUGUGCUUCCUGCAGGAGGGCCUGCAGCACCGCAGGGGGGGCGGACGCCGGGCUGCAGCUGGGCGAGAGCACCCCUCCGGCUCCCACGCCGUCGGCUGCGGUGAACCGAAAAAAAUGAGUUUAACAAACUAAAAAAAAAAAAAAAUGAACCUACGUUUCCCUCAGGACCUCGCUCCAGUGGGAGCCGCAAAACUUUUUCUAUAAAUGAAUCUACAUAGAAAUAAAUAAGGUAGAGCUCCUCCCCGAGA